Molecule: ribosomal RNA, 484 nt
Filed under: uncultured bacterium
Lineage: Bacteria
Description: partial 16S ribosomal RNA
Rfam family: Bacterial small subunit ribosomal RNA
Source: RNAcentral
GGGGGGGGGGGGGGGGGGGGGGAGGAGGGGCGGGGCGGGGGGGGGAAGGGGGGGGGGUCGUGGAUGCAGCGGCGGACGGGUGAGGAAGGGGUAGGAAGGUGGCUGGGAGGGGGGGAGAGCGUGCGGAAACGGGGGCGCAGACGGCGUACGGCAUGAGGGAGGAAGUGGGGCAGCAUCGGACCUCAGUCUAUCAGAUGAGCCUAGGUCGGAUUAGCUAGUUGGUGGGGUAAAGGCCUACCAAGGCGACGAUCCGUAACUGGUCUGAGAGGAUGAUCAGUCACACUGGAACUGAGACACGGUCCAGACUCCUACGGGAGGCAGCAGUGGGGAAUAUUGGACAAUGGGCGAAAGCCUGAUCCAGCCAUGCCGCGUGUGUGAAGAAGGUCUUCGGAUUGUAAAGCACUUUAAGUUGGGAGGAAGGGCAGUAAGUUAAUACCUUGCUGUUUUGACGUUACCAACAGAAUAAGCACCGGCUAACUUCGUG